This 214-nucleotide long non-coding RNA is filed under the name Carica papaya (papaya). Its description in RNAcentral is "long non-coding RNA (CPAP_LNC014366)". The record is from RNAcentral. Lineage: Eukaryota; Viridiplantae; Streptophyta; Magnoliopsida; Brassicales; Caricaceae.
AGACGAAAGACCAUAUAGGGCAGUAACGAAGAUUUGUUAAUUUGGUAUGGCGAGGAGUGAAUGAUUCUUGAAAAUAAAAGAAGUGGGAAAAACAACAUGAUGGCAAUCUUUUGGCUUGAAAUUGAUGACAUAAUGGAGAUGGUGAAUGAACUUUCAAUUUGAGAGAAAAGAAAAUCUCAAUGUUCGAAACAAUAGGGAUACAAUAUUUUUUGCU